This 73-nucleotide transfer RNA is filed under the name Caulochytrium protostelioides. It matches the Rfam family "tRNA". From Rfam's summary of the family: Transfer RNA (tRNA) molecules are approximately 80 nucleotides in length. Their secondary structure includes four short double-helical elements and three loops (D, anti-codon, and T loops). Further hydrogen bonds mediate the characteristic L-shaped molecular structure. tRNAs have two regions of fundamental functional importance: the anti-codon, which is responsible for specific mRNA codon recognition, and the 3' end, to which the tRNAs corresponding amino acid is attached (by aminoacyl-tRNA synthetases). tRNAs cope with the degeneracy of the genetic code in two manners: having more than one tRNA (with a specific anti-codon) for a particular amino acid; and 'wobble' base-pairing, i.e. permitting non-standard base-pairing at the 3rd anti-codon position. The record is from Rfam by way of RNAcentral. Lineage: Eukaryota; Fungi; Chytridiomycota; Caulochytriomycetes; Caulochytriales; Caulochytriaceae.
GCCCGGUUAGCUCAAUCGGUAGAGCGUACGACUCUUAAUCGUACGGUUGCGGGUUCGACCCCCGCAUCGGGCU